Molecule: ribosomal RNA, 416 nt
Filed under: uncultured Vagococcus sp.
Lineage: Bacteria; Bacillati; Bacillota; Bacilli; Lactobacillales; Enterococcaceae
Description: bacterial SSU rRNA
Rfam family: Bacterial small subunit ribosomal RNA
Source: RNAcentral
CGCCCUUAGAGUUUGAUCAUGGCUCAGGACGAACGCUGGCGGCGUGCCUAAUACAUGCAAGUCGAACGCAGCUUGCUUUGGUAAGAUGAGUGGCGAACGGGUGAGUAACACGUGGGUAACCUGCCUAUCAGAGGGGGAUAACACUUGGAAACAGGUGCUAAUACCGCAUAGAUUUCUUUCGCAUGAAAAGAGAGGAAAGACGUACGUGUCACUGAUAGAUGGACCCGCGGUGCAUUAGCUAGUUGGUGAGGUAACGGCUCACCAAGGCCAUGAUGCAUAGCCGACCUGAGAGGGUGAUCGGCCACACUGGGACUGAGACACGGCCCAGACUCCUACGGGAGGCAGCAGUAGGGAAUCUUCGGCAAUGGACAAAAGUCUGACCGAGCAACGCCGCGUGAGUGAAGAAGGUUUUCGGA